CCUACGGGAGGCAGCAGUAAGGAAUAUUGGUCAAUGGUGGCAACACUGAACCAGCCAUGCCGCGUGCAGGAUGAAGGUUCUAUGAAUUGUAAACUGCUUUUAUACGGGAAAAAACUUUCGAACGUGUUCGGAACUGAUGGUACCGUAAGAAUAAGGAUCGGCUAACUUCGUGCCAGCAGCCGCGGUAAGACGAAGGAUCCAAGCGUUAUCCGGAUUUAUUGGGUUUAAAGGGUGCGUAGGUGGACUUGUAAGUCAGUGGCGAAAGCCCGAUGCUUAACAUCGGAACUGCCAUUGAUACUGCAAGUCUUGAAUAUGUUUGAAGUGGGCGGAAUGUGUCGUGUAGCGGUGAAAUGCUUAGAUAUGACACAGAACACCGAUUGCGAAGGCAGCUCACUAAACCAUUAUUGACACUGAGGCACGAAAGCGUGGGGAGCAAACAGGAUUAGAUACCCUGGUAGUCCACGCCCUAAACGUUGAAUACUCGAUAUGUGNGAUACACUAGUACGUGCCGAACGAAGAAAGUAACGUUAAGUUAAUUACCUACCUACGGGAGGUACGGACGUCGCGAGAAGUAGAAACGUAACGAAAGAAAGUUAAGUACGGACGUGAGACGAGCGACGACGACGACGAGGGAGGAGG
This 639-nucleotide ribosomal RNA is filed under the name uncultured bacterium. Its description in RNAcentral is "bacterial SSU rRNA". The stretch from base 1 to 541 matches the Rfam family "Bacterial small subunit ribosomal RNA", at positions 338 to 873 of the family's 1533-position model. The record is from RNAcentral.